UUGUACGUUACCUACAGAAGAAGCACCGGCUAACUCCGUGCCAGCAGCCGCGGUAAUACGGAGGGUGCGAGCGUUAAUCGGAAUUACUGGGCGUAAAGCGCAUGCAGGCGGCCUGUUAAGUCAGAUGUGAAAGCCCGGGGCGUUAACCUCGGAAUUGCAUUUGAAACUGGCAGGCUAGAGUCUUGUAGAGGGGGGUAGGAAUUUCAGGUGUAGCGGUGAAAUGCGUAGAGAUCUGAAGGAAUACCAGUGGCGAAGGCGGCCCCCUGGACAAAGACUGACGCUCAGAUGCGAAAGCGUGGGGAGCAAACAGGAUUAGAUACCCUGGUAG
RNAcentral lists this ribosomal RNA (328 nucleotides) under uncultured bacterium. RNAcentral's name for it is "bacterial SSU rRNA". It matches the Rfam family "Bacterial small subunit ribosomal RNA", at positions 468 to 793 of the family's 1533-position model. The record is from RNAcentral.